RNAcentral lists this ribosomal RNA (434 nucleotides) under uncultured bacterium. Its description in RNAcentral is "partial 16S ribosomal RNA". It matches the Rfam family "Bacterial small subunit ribosomal RNA", at positions 29 to 507 of the family's 1533-position model. The record is from RNAcentral.
AGCGAACGCUGGCGGCAGGCCUAACACAUGCAAGUCGAACGAACCUUUCGGGGUUAGUGGCGGACGGGUGAGUAACACGUGGGAACGUGCCUUUAGGUUCGGAAUAACUCAGGGAAACUUGUGCUAAUACCGAAUGUGCCCUUCGGGGGAAAGAUUUAUCGCCUUUAGAGCGGCCCGCGUCUGAUUAGCUAGUUGGUUGAGGUAAUGGCUCACCAAGGCGACGAUCAGUAGCUGGUCUGAGAGGAUGAUCAGCCACAUUGGGACUGAGACACGGCCCAAACUCCUACGGGAGGCAGCAGUGGGGAAUCUUGCGCAAGGGGCGAAAGCCUGACGCAGCCAGGCCGCGAGAAUGAUGAAGGUCUUAGGAUUGGAAAAUUCUUUCAACGGGGACGAUAAUGACGGUACCCGGAGAAGAAGCCCCGGCUAACUUCGUG